AAUAAAGUGCGGUCGGAACAAGGCUGGCGCCAAGGAUGAGUGGGUCCUUAUGCUCUCUAUCAUUUGGUCUGGCUGGCACAUUGACUUGCUUACUUUCAUUGGGUCUGGCUGGCACAUUGACUUGCUUACUUUAAAGCCCUUUUUAAGGUUAUUGAGCUUGACACAACUGGCUGGUCUGGUCUGCCUCAGCUCAAGCUCAAGCUCCAGCACAAGUCAGGUCAACUUCUUGGAAGACAGACUAAAUCUCAAACCCCAACCCAGUUUUCAGACAGAACACAAAACUGAAGUAAGCAAGAUCAAGUGUUUCCAGCAUGGAAGCACUGGCGGUGCAAGCUGGUGGACAAGGUGUUGGUUCACUGGUUACACCUGCGGUUGAAGGUGGAAAGAGUAUUUUCAACUGUUUGCGGCACAAAUAUGCCUACGUGAAGAAUAUACGAGAGAAUUUUGACAAGCUUGUGAAGGAGGAAGUAUAUUUGUCUAAUGUGGAUGCGGAUGUUAAAACAAAGUUGGAGAGAAACAAAUUAACAAAAGAAAAAACGAACAGAUGUGAAACCUGGCUCAAUGAGGUCGAAAAUAUGAAACAGGAGAUUGAAAACCUUAAGGUUGACUACACAAACACCAGCUCGUAUUUUUGCGGACUAUGUCCAUUUCCGAGUUUGCUAAAGCUUGGCAAGCGUAUUGUGAAGAAGACAACAGAGGUAGUUGAGCUGAGGAAUCAAUUAGGUCAAAUAACUAUAAUGCAUGAGAAGCCACCGGCACCACCAGUUCCUGUUAUAGAGAAGCAUGCUCGGAAAAAAGGUGAUGUGCCAUCAUUUGAUUCUCAUGUAGAAACACUGGCAGAGUGGCUAGAGGAUGAAAACUUGAAAAGAAUCUGCAUAUGGGGACCUCCGGGUGUAGGGAAGACCAAGAUAAUGGGAAUGUUGCAUGACAGGGUUGGUAAAUCUGGUAAAUUUGACAUCAUCUUUUGGGUGAAUGUAACAGCCGAAGGGAGAAUAAGAGACAUACUGGAUGAAAUAUGGAAGCGUUUAGAUAUGAAAGUAGACGGCAACUAUGGUGCUGAUCAAAGAGCAAACAUGAUAUCCGAAGAGCUAAAGGACAAGAGCUAUGUAUUGUUUCUUGAUCUUGAUGAUAUUGUCUCAGAGAUUGAUCUUAGAAAAGUUGGAAUUCAUGAUGAACACGAGCAUGGAAAAGUGGUGUUUGCUUGCAGAUACAAGAACAACAAUAUCUGCGGAGGCACAGAUGAAGAGAUGAACGUGCAGAGAUUAUCGGACGAGGAUGCUGAAAGCUUUUUUUGGGAAAUAGUUGGUUCUGAUCUUAAGAGUAAUCCCGAUAUCAAGCCAGUUGCGAAACACAUCAUCAAAGAAUGUGGUGGCAUGCCGCUCUUGAUCAAGUUAAUCGGCAAUAGAUUGGCAAAAGUGGAUGACCCUGCGAUAUGGCGAGAUUUGUUGUCCCAAUUAAGGUCACCGACAAUGGAACCACAAGAACCACUGGAAGAAGUUUACAAGGCUUUUAAACUUGUUUAUGAAAAACUAUCAGAAGAGAUGAAGCCUUGUUUGCUGUAUUGGGCAGUGUUUCCUGCCGGUUACGAAAUUUUUCGAGACCAUAUAAUUGAUUGUUGGAGAGCGGAGCAGUUCUUUUCAAGCCAAAGAAAACUUCCUAGGACACGUGACAGGGGGCAUGCAAUAUUAGAUGAAUUUGUGAGGAAGUCUUUACUAGAAAAGGGAAGAAAAUGGGGGCAUUUCAAGAUGUAUGAAUAUUUUCAACGGGUGGCAUUAAGGAUAGCAAAUCUUGAAAAGAACUUCAAUUUUUUCGUUACCGAGGAUGAAAACAUUAUAGACGAAGAGUGGGAACGUGCAAGGAGAGUGUCACUUAUUCGGGUUCGCCUAUCUACUCUACCAAAAAGACCCCAAUGUUGUGGGAUCUUGACAUUGUUACUGCAGGAGAGUUGCUUGGCCGAAUUUCCAAGGGAAUUCUUCGGCUAUAUGUGUGGCCUUCAAGUUCUGAACUUGCAUGAAAUACGAAUCACUUCACUUCCAUCAUCGAUAUGCAGCUUAACAAAUCUGAAAGGGCUGUUUAUAAACAACUGUAGUCAAUUAGUACAGCUUCCUUCUCAGAUCGGGGAUCUCCAGCAUCUAGAAAUCCUUGAUAUACGUCAGACCGGUCUCUAUAGUUUGCCCGUAGAGAUUGGAGAAUUGUUCAAUCUAAAAUGUUUGAGAGUUUCAUUCACAGAAGAUGUUGGCAAGUACAACCAUGUCGAAGAAGUGAAGCCGAUGAUUCCUUCUAACGUGAUUGCAAGGCUUUCUAAGUUAGAAGAACUAAGCAUUGAUGUGAGCCAUAGUAGCAGCAGAUAUCAAAAUGCAGCCGAAAUUGUCCGUGAAAUUUCUGAGUUGGAAGAGUUAACCACACUUUGUUUCUUCUUCCCCGAGUUGGCAUCUUUCAACUCUUUCAUCCGGAAUAGCAAAUCAUGGAAAGGAAGCAAUACAAUUUCAGCAGGCAAUAGCUUCAGAUCAUUCAACAUCGUUGUUGGUUGCCGGAGAAACAAUCCUGCUUCUGAAUUUAGAGUCUUCGAAUGUUCAGCCGAGAAGCAUCUGAGGUUUUAUGCAGGAAACGAAUUUCCGAAUGCUAUUUUAGAGGUACUAAAGCAAGCCAAAGCGCUCGAACUGAUCGGUCACCAAACUGCUACCAGUUUAUCAGGCUUCAGAGCUGAUAACUUGCAAGGAGUGGAAGCAUGUAUUGUCGAGGAAUGUAACCAGAUGGAGAACAUCAUAGAUAGAGACCAAACAAGUAUUGCAUUUCAAGAUGAUGACAACAUGGGUGUUGAAUUCGAACGCUUGAAAAGCCUACACAUUUGCAAUCUCCCGAAACUAAAAGGUAUCUGGCGGGGCUCGAUUGAAUCUAAAAGCCUCUGUAGCCUUACAUCUCUCUCGUUAAAAGGAUGCAACAGCAUAGGAGUGCUUUUUUCACAGGGAAUGAUCAUACGACUCUCUCAGCUAGAAAAGCUGGAGGUGAAGGACUGCUGCGUCUUGAAGGAGAUUAUUGAAGAUGGAAGUAUAGUCGAAUCGCACUCCUUUCCCAAGUUGAAGUAUUUGCAGCUCCAUGACUUGCCGGAAUUAUGCGCCAUUUCUCAUAUCUCCUUGCAAUGGCCUUCCUUGGAGACAGUAUUGAUCAAGCCAAGCAUGAAGCUAAGAAAUUUACCACAUACAAUUAAAAACGCAUCAAAACUAAAAACGAUUCACUGCACAGAAGAUUGGUGGAAUCAACAGGAUUGGCCACAUGACACUAAUAAAGAUGAUUUCAAAAACUUUCUCAGUUUCAUAUGAUGAGAGGAGCCUCAACUAGGGCCAAGACAUCCCAAGCAAAAGGCAUUAUUGAAGAGACUGUUGAAGAUUUAGUGAGAAUCAAGAGAAAUAUAAGCCCGGACCUGACUAUAUGCAGCUCUCAAGUAUUCUUAGCUGAGUUGGCUUAUGUGAUAGCCGAGCCUGAGUGGGAAUUGGUCAUUGUUACAUUUUUCGUCCUUGAAUUUCUCCAAAGAUUUUUAUUAUGUAUGGAGAUUCACCCAGCCUUCAACCAAUGAGUAUGAAAAUGUGAUCGUCCAAAGACCCACCAAAUACAUGAAAGCAGUUUGUUCAAGCUGGCCGUAGUUAUGCUCGAAACGGUAUGUCCGAUGAAGAGCUUUUAGGUGGGAUUCAAGCAUUCAUCUCAUCAGAUGUUUCAACAACUACUACAUCAAAGACAACUUUUCAAGACAUUGCUUCCACAUUUUGUAGAACCAGUGACUGCAAAGUCCAUUCCCGACAACCUCCAAUCACUUCCUCUUUAAAGUAAUUCGAUAUUUGUCAUGGUUUGCAUUUUGCAACAAAAUAAACUUCUAAGUAGAGCAAAAUAUAUUUGCAAUAAUGUUUUUUAACUAGUUUUUGAUAUCAAAAUACAUUUUUUAUUAUUUAAUAAAAUGAUUUUAAUACAUAUAAUUAAUAUAA
Molecule: RNA transcript, 3977 nt
Organism: Gossypium arboreum
Lineage: Eukaryota; Viridiplantae; Streptophyta; Magnoliopsida; Malvales; Malvaceae
Gene name: probable disease resistance protein At1g61300
Exons: 3
Source: RefSeq, a predicted model, not a curated record